UUUAUAUGAGAGUUUGAUCCUGGCUCAGGAUAAACGCCGGCGGUGUGCCUAAUACAUGCAAGUCGUACGCACUGGCCCAACUGAUUGAUGGUGCUUGCAUCUGAUUGACGAUGGAUCACCAGUGAGUGGCGGACGGGUGAGUAACACGUAGGUAACCUGCCCCGGAGCGGGGGAUAACAUUUGGAAACAGAUGMUAAUACCGCAUAACAACAAAAGCCGCAUGGYUUUUGUUUGAAAGAUGGCUUUGGCUAUCACUCUGGGAUGGACCUGCGGUGCAUUAGCUAGUUGGUAAGGUAAHGGCUUACCAAGGCGAUGAUGCAUAGCCGAGUUGAGAGACUGAUCGGCCACAAUGGAACUGAGACACGGUCCAUACUCCUACGGGAGGCAGCAGUAGGGAAUCUUCCACAAUGGGCGCAAGCCUGAUGGAGCAACACCGCGUGAGUGAAGAAGGGUUUCGGCUCGUAAAGCUCUGUUGUUGGAGAAGAACGUGCGUGAGAGUAACUGUUCACGCAGUGACGGUAUCCAACCAGAAAGUCACGGCUAACUACGUGCCAGCAGCCGCGGUAAUACGUAGGUGGCAAGCGUUAUCCGGAUUUAUUGGGCGUAAAGCGAGCGCAGGCGGUUGCUUAGGUCUGAUGUGAAAGCCUUCGGCUUAACCGAAGAAGUGCAUCGGAAACCGGGCGACUUGAGUGCAGAAGAGGACAGUGGAACUCCAUGUGUAGCGGUGGAAUGCGUAGAUAUAUGGA
RNAcentral lists this ribosomal RNA (746 nucleotides) under Limosilactobacillus reuteri. RNAcentral describes it as "bacterial SSU rRNA". It matches the Rfam family "Bacterial small subunit ribosomal RNA", at positions 1 to 702 of the family's 1533-position model. Lineage: Bacteria; Bacillati; Bacillota; Bacilli; Lactobacillales; Lactobacillaceae. The record is from RNAcentral.